GCGUACCCAUUUGUCUGGAAAAAUGACUUUAUUUUUCAGGAUUUUCCUUUUCUCUCGCGAUAAACAUGAUGGUGUAAUAAAUAGUCAGAGGGGGGGCGAGCGGGCUCGUUCCCACCCAUUAUCCCCCCCUCUCCUCUCGCCGCUUUCUGCAUCGUAAUGCUCUUGUUAUCCCCCAACACACUGCAAACAAGUCUUCAUAGAAUUUACAACCCAAAAUGAUAAAAAAUAAAGCUUGACACAAGCUGAAAAUGACUGCCCUCAGCUCCGUGCCGUUUCGUAUCAUCUUCCAACUCUCCAUCAUACACACAGGCACGCAUCUUUGAGCUGGAUAUUUGCAGCAAAAUCUUCAAGAACAAAAAUAUAUAUAUAUUUAUAUAUUCACAGUUACAGUAUUUACACUUUUUUCAAGAUUAGAAAGAAAAACAAAAAAGAUGACGGGGCCGAAAGAAGACGUUUCCACAAGAAACAAUCUUUCAAAAAGGGGAAGGUUUUUUUUUCCAAAUCGGGUGUUCUGUACACAAGAUGAAUCUUUUUUUUUAUAGAGAGAAAUGUUCUAUGAGUACACCCCGUGUUGUUAUCCUUGAAGUGAUCCCUGAAAAUAUGAUUUCUUUAUAUUUUGUUUUUCUUUAAAUACACCAUCUCUCUUUUUUUUUCAUUUUCUUCAUAAAAAGGAAGGCUGUCCAUUGUCUGCAUUCCCUGCAUUUAAAAAAGAAAAAAAACAGAAAACCAAAAUUCUGUACAAACAUUCCUAUCCUGUACAAUAUAAACAUUAUACUGGUCUUUUUUAAUGUGAGCUUAACACAAUCGCCCCUAGCUUGCCCCGUCCCUAUACCACCCGGUGAGGUAUAACCUAUGGGUUGGGAUGGGGUGUGUGGUGGGGGUGUUCGGGGUAACAUAAGCAGACUCAGGAUUGACAAGUGCCGUCCGUGGGCCCCUAGUGCAAUCUUGGGAGGUUUUUUUUUUGGGACUGGUGCAGGUUUGGAGCAGUGAGGAGCAACUUGGACUCAUUACUGGGGUGGAUUUCUCGAAACCAAAGUUGCUUACUACAUUAGCUACUUAGUUGUUUUCAAUGCAUUUUCCCAUUGGCAACUACCGAAGUUGCUAACAGGCUAGCAACUUCUCUUUUGAGAAACUCACCCCACUGCUACAUAUUCCAAAUGACCUGCUUUGUGACUUGUCCAAUUCAACCAGGUGAUUGAAUUGGACAAGUAAAAGAAGGUGAUUUGGAAUAUGUAGUACUGGGGUGUAACCUACUGAGUCCAGGUUGUCCAUCACGGGACGGGGAGCAGGGGAAGACAGAAGUGAUAUUACCAAGUGGAGUGAGUCAAACAGCUUUCAAAGAUCAAGGAUUUCUCUCACACACACACACGACACACACACACACACACACAGCCCCUCUGAACAAUUGAGAACAUUUUAAACACCAAAGUGUGUGCAUGUGUGUAUGUGCAACAACAGUGGAGGGCUUCUUGCCUUUUUUCUUUGUUUGUUUUUUGAAGGAACAGGCCCUACAGGAAUGGGACAAGACAGGACAGUACAACAGACCGUACUGCCACCAGGUGACAGACAGACAGACAGACAGACAGACAGACACACGCACACAACUGCAGUCCAGUCUAAUAUCUGUGGGGCAUAUUUGGCACUCCUGUAACACUGGUGUGUGUUGCAAGCUCGCCCACACACACACACACACGUGAGACCUCUCACUGGCUGCAGAACAGUCGAGCCUGUCAACUCUGAAUUCUUCUUCUGAAGCAAGGGGAGCCAGAAACACCCUCUGUGGCACAGACAAUGAACUUGGAUAACACUUGAGGCACGGGAGAGAAAGUAAAGAGCACCCUGCAGUGCCAGCUUCAAAUGGGGCAUUACUCGCCUUUCGUGGCCAUGAUGGGGGUGGGCCAGUGGUGUAGUCUACUUUUUUAUGGUGGGUAUACUGUAUAUUUGAGCAUUUUUUGAAGUGGGUAUACUGUAUAUAUUUGUGCUAUUCAAAACAAUAGAUCAAUCAAUUUUAAGUGGGUAUACUGAAAUCCCUGAAAUUUAGAAGUGGGUAUACUCCGUAUACCCGCGUUCUACGUAGACUACACCACUGGGGUGGGCUGUGCACUACUAUGUGGGGUGGGCUUCAUCUUGCUGAUGUAGUAGUGACAACACUGUUGAUGAGCAUAGGACUCUGGCAUGGACAACACACGCACACACGCACGCACACACACACACGCACACACAGGUUUUUAGCAGCUUAGGUCCUCAGUGAAAAAUUGGUCUGACUGUGCUUGCCGGCAGGUACGACAUACAGUAUGUAUACGGGGGGAGAGUUCUGCGUCUGCAUUGGUUGAGUUUUGCAAUGCACUUCGAGAAUACAGGUGGUUAAGACCUCUCUCUGGUGAUGAUCCUGCAGCAACAAAGCUAAGCCGUCAUUACCACAGCCAACCCACAGAGGGCAGCAUACACACACGUUCAACAGGGGCCCAAGACUUCAGCCAGGACUACCAAUGGAACCAUCUGGAUAUUACCUAACACUCAGAGAGAUACGCAGGGAGGGAUAGAGAGAGCGAGAGAGGGAGGGAGGGAGGGCGAGACAGAGAGAAUACUAAAGUAGUGCAGUGCCGCUAAUAGAAGAAUACCUCACUGUAGAGUUGUAGAGAUACACAAUGACAGCUCGCGCUGCUUUGGGUACAUUUGCUUCAGCAAUGGGGUCAUUUGCUGCACAUUUGUAUAAUGACUUCGGCAGCUGUGUUUCAUGUUGAUGAUGGCAGGUCACAGUGUGUGUGUGUGUGUGUGUGUGUGUGUGUGUGUGUGUGUGUGUGUGUGUGUGUGUGUGUGCGAAUCACAAACAGAUAAUUGACUUACUUAGCUGUGUGUUGUGUUUGAGUCAGAGAGAUCAACUCUACCUACGGGUGGCAUUUGUGCAGCACUGUGAAUGCAAAACCGAACACUGUGGCCUGGGGAGGGAGUAUUGCAAGAACCUGGUUUGAUAGUAGAUGAACCAUGCGGUGGUGGUAACUCAUCUAGUAGAAGAGCUGUGCUCCAGGACUUUCUUGACUGAAGGGAGGACUGCAGCCUGUAUAUUAGCAGGUUUACCGCUUGCCGUAGGUCAACUUAGGGCCUCCGCACACUGGCUCCCACAAAGUUCGAUUCCAUUGUUGUCAAUACAUUCACCCCGCACACCGGCGCCUAGUAUGUCCGCGGACAUUUGCGGAUGUCGGCAAGCGAUUAGAGACGAGUUCUAUUUUGUCGGAGCCGCCCAUGGACUAUCCAUGCUAUGUUGGUGUGAAAUUGGGUUUGGGGGUCAGAACUGUUUCGGAAGCGAAAGUGUUCCGCAGUGCUGUCGGAGCCGAUGUCCGGAGGUCAACUUAGCCAGGUGUAGCACUUAACCAUGAUCUCGGAAUACUAGUACCCAGGUAAAGACAUAACAAGCGACCAACAGAGACAUUCACACACACAUUAACACACACACACACCUCUCCUCUGUGGCUGUGGCACUGGGAACAUUGUGCGUGUGGGGGGUAGAUACUGAGCAGCUUGAAGGUGUUCCACAGUGACUGUAGCGACAGACCACAGGCCAUCUGGAGAGAGAGAGAGAGAGAGAGAGAGAG
Engraulis encrasicolus (European anchovy) is the source of this 3593-nucleotide long non-coding RNA. RefSeq lists it as uncharacterized. The transcript is spliced from 2 exons. The record is from RefSeq and is a predicted model, not a curated record. Lineage: Eukaryota; Metazoa; Chordata; Actinopteri; Clupeiformes; Engraulidae.